AUUAAUUCUCUAAUUCAAUUGGACUAGUAGACAGUCCCUUAAAAAUACUAAUGCCUCAAGAAAUGUGAUGUAAUUUUUGCUCUUUAAGGGUGAGAUUUACAAAGACGACGAUAUAUUAUUCUCGAUAUUAAUCUAUUAUUUUGCCAUUUAAUGUAUGGGUUUCCUGACAGUUCUGUAAGUAUUGCACUUUAAUCGUUUUUCAUUUAUUUUUUUAUUGGACGAUGAGCUGCAUUCUUUGUAAAACGAGGAUAAAAAAGUCAGACUUUAGUUCCAAAUACUGCAAAAAAUAAAAAUAAAUGAAAUGGCAUAUGGCACCAUCAGAUUACAGUGAGCACAGAUUCUGCUGUAGAUUGGAUGCUUUGCAACGUUUUUUUAAUUGCAGGUCAGCUAGGGAUUGUUGAAGAUACGUGGAAUUGUUUUUUUGUUGUUAUUGUCUCUCCGUCGCGAGUAUUACAAAGGGUUAGAGGUACACCCACAGCACAGUGCACAAGUCAGUGAAAGGAAGACGUCAAGGUCUUGAGGUAAAGAGGUCAGGAUUGUAUUAAAAACCAGAACAACGCACUUGGCGAUCAGUGACGGAGCUGUGUCGUGUAGGAAAGCAUGGCUACUGUCCACAGGGGCGAUUCGCCUCUGUUAGGAUUGCGAGACGCCCCGAUUGAUGGAAAAACACACUCGUCCUCGUUUUUUACGAAUAAAAUUGGAGGUCUACCGGACGUUUUCCCUUCCUUGACAGUGCACUAUCCGCGCUGCUCUGUGUGCAGCGGAGUACUUGCUCACGUUGUGCAAGUAUACUGCCCCCUGGAGGGGUCUCCCUAUCACCGCACCAUAAAUGUAUUCGCUUGCCCGAGUCCAGCGUGCUAUGGAAACUCACUCAGCUGGAAAGUGUUGCG
This 890-nucleotide long non-coding RNA is filed under the name Lepisosteus oculatus (spotted gar). Its description in RNAcentral is "lncRNA (ENSLOCG00000021154.1)". Lineage: Eukaryota; Metazoa; Chordata; Actinopteri; Semionotiformes; Lepisosteidae. The record is from RNAcentral.